This 26-nucleotide non-coding RNA is filed under the name Mus musculus (house mouse). The record is from RNAcentral. Lineage: Eukaryota; Metazoa; Chordata; Mammalia; Rodentia; Muridae.
UGCAAACACUCACUCAGACUCAGCAG